GGGCACUCCAGUGAUGUUGCAGCUCUGAAAUAUGGCCAAACUGGUGGCAUGUGGCAUCGUGGCAGCUGCACGCUUGACUUUUCUCAGUUCAUGGGCAGUUAUUUUGCGCCUUGGUUUUUCCACACGCUUCUUGCGACCCUGUUGACUAUUUUGAAUGAAACGCUUGAUUGUUCGAUGAUCACGCUUCAGAAGCUUUGCAAUUUUAAGAGUGCUGCAUCCCUCUGCAAGAUAUCUCACUAUUUUUGACUUUUCU
Molecule: non-coding RNA, 253 nt
Organism: Pelobates cultripes (western spadefoot toad)
Lineage: Eukaryota; Metazoa; Chordata; Amphibia; Anura; Pelobatidae
Source: the annotation of a GenBank genome assembly